UCCGCGAAAUAACAUUUUGAAAUCGUUGAAAGUCGUUACUCACAUUUCAUGAGCUGCGCACCUUAGUUUGUGAAUUUUCUGCAAUGUUAAACUCACAGCCACACUUUCCCAUUUCAGAGAACCCAGAUGACAUCGACGUUUUGACGCCUGCUUACUUUCUCAUUUGGUCUACAUUUACCUCAAUGGACGAACCUGACGUCUGACAUGUGUGCCAAAUGCAGCAAAUAUUCCGGCGCAAAUGGAGCACCAUCAACUUUUCGUUGCUGCAGGAGCGAAGCAAAUGGCAAAGGGCAACGAGGAAGUUAACUGUCCUGCCCCUUGAAACCACUUCACUUCGAAGUAUGGCUCUUCCAACGGGGGGAGCAUGUCAGGAGCAAUCACUUAAUUGAAAUAAAAUCACUGAUUGCUUGUUAUUUGGUCAGCAUCACUGACAACAAGAAUGUAAACAAAGGAUUCCUGAAUUAUCUAUUUUGUAUGCGUGCACGUAUGGAUAAGCUGAGAUAAGCGCAUUCAGUCGCUGAUCUCCGCUCAUCUUGCAUUCGCUCGUUAUCGUUUUCGGAACUCAGUCGCAUCGCUGCAGAAAUAAACACUUACAUAAAAACAAAAACUCUCAGCUUUUUAUUCAGCACUGUUCCGGCAUCGCAUACGUUUUGUUAAAAAUUCGCUUUAAAAGGUGUCAUAAAUUAAUGCCACCUUGAAACACUCGUUAAUGGCCGUUUUGGGUGCUAGAUUCCCAAAAUGGAAGACACUAUCCGCCAGCUCAUGGCAAAGGAAGUGUACAACACACAUCCGCUAAGGAACAUCAUGAAAACUAGUAAUGACUUAAUGUAGUUUGAAAAUGCCAUUAGGACUGGAAAUCUCGCACAAAUAUCAGAUCUAACACUAGUAGCGGGACACAUCAAGCGAACGCAGGCAGCAAUCAUCAACGUCGUGACCGAACUAAAAAGGCGUAUAGUUGACCCUGCAUUAGUCCCCAGAACCCAGAUGACAUCGACGUUUUGACGCCUGCUUACUUUCUCAUUUGGUCUACAUUUACCUCAAUGGACGAACCUGACGUCUGACAUGUGUGCCAAAUGCAGCAAAUAUUCCGGCGCAAAUGGAGCACCAUCAACUUUUCGUUGCUGCAGGAGCGAAGCAAAUGGCAAAGGGCAACGAGGAAGUUAACUGUCCUGCCCCUUGAAACCACUUCACUUCGAAGUAUGGCUCUUCCAACGGGGGGAGCAUGUCAGGAGCAAUCACUUAAUUGAAAUAAAAUCACUGAUUGCUUGUUAUUUGGUCAGCAUCACUGACAACAAGAAUGUAAACAAAGGAUUCCUGAAUUAUCUAUUUUGUAUGCGUGCACGUAUGGAUAAGCUGAGAUAAGCGCAUUCAGUCGCUGAUCUCCGCUCAUCUUGCAUUCGCUCGUUAUCGUUUUCGGAACUCAGUCGCAUCGCUGCAGAAAUAAACACUUACAUAAAAACAAAAACUCUCAGCUUUUUAUUCAGCACUGUUCCGGCAUCGCAUACGUUUUGUUAAAAAUUCGCUUUAAAAGGUGUCAUAAAUUAAUGCCACCUUGAAACACUCGUUAAUGGCCGUUUUGGGUGCUAGAUUCCCAAAAUGGAAGACACUAUCCGCCAGAUCAUGGCAAAGGAAGUGUACAACACACAUCCGCUAAGGAACAUCAUGAAAACUAGUAAUGACUUAAUGUAGUUUGAAAAUGCCAUUAGGACUGGAAAUCUCGCACAAAUAUCAGAUCUAACACUAGUAGCGGGACACAUCAAGCGAACGCAGGCAGCAAUCAUCAACGUCGUGACCGAACUAAAAAGGCGUAUAGUUGACCCUGCAUUAGUCCCCAGAACCCAGAUGACAUCGACGUUUUGACGCCUGCUUACUUUCUCAUUUGGUCUACAUUUACCUCAAUGGACGAACCUGACGUCUGACAUGUGUGCCAAAUGCAGCAAAUAUUCCGGCGCAAAUGGAGCACCAUCAACUUUUCGUUGCUGCAGGAGCGAAGCAAAUGGCAAAGGGCAACGAGGAAGUUAACUGUCCUGCCCCUUGAAACCACUUCACUUCGAAGUAUGGCUCUUCCAACGGGGGGAGCAUGUCAGGAGCAAUCACUUAAUUGAAAUAAAAUCACUGAUUGUUUGUUAUUUGGUCAGCAUCACUGACAACAAGAAUGUAAACAAAGGAUUCCUGAAUUAUCUAUUUUGUAUGCGUGCACGUAUGGAUAAGCUGAGAUAAGCGCAUUCAGUCGCUGAUCUCCGCUCAUCUUGCAUUCGCUCGUUAUCGUUUUCGGAACUCAGUCGCAUCGCUGCAGAAAUAAACACUUACAUAAAAACAAAAACUCUCAGCUUUUUAUUCAGCACUGUUCCGGCAUCGCAUACGUUUUGUUAAAAAUUCGCUUUAAAAGGUGUCAUAAAUUAAUGCCACCUUGAAACACUCGUUAAUGGCCGUUUUGGGUGCUAGAUUCCCAAAAUGGAAGACACUAUCCGCCAGAUCAUGGCAAAGGAAGUGUACAACACACAUCCGCUAAGGAACAUCAUGAAAACUAGUAAUGACUUAAUGUAGUUUGAAAAUGCCAUUAGGACUGGAAAUCUCGCACAAAUAUCAGAUCUAACACUAGUAGCGGGACACAUCAAGCGAACGCAGGCAGCAAUCAUCAACGUCGUGACCGAACUAAAAAGGCGUAUAGUUGACCCUGCAUUAGUCCCCAGAACCCAGAUGACAUCGACGUUUUGACGCCUGCUUACUUUCUCAUUUGGUCUACAUUUACCUCAAUGGACGAACCUGACGUCUGACAUGUGUGCCAAAUGCAGCAAAUAUUCCGGCGCAAAUGGAGCACCAUCAACUUUUCGUUGCUGCAGGAGCGAAGCAAAUGGCAAAGGGCAACGAGGAAGUUAACUGUCCUGCCCCUUGAAACCACUUCACUUCGAAGUAUGGCUCUUCCAACGGGGGGAGCAUGUCAGGAGCAAUCACUUAAUUGAAAUAAAAUCACUGAUUGUUUGUUAUUUGGUCAGCAUCACUGACAACAAGAAUGUAAACAAAGGAUUCCUGAAUUAUCUAUUUUGUAUGCGUGCACGUAUGGAUAAGCUGAGAUAAGCGCAUUCAGUUGCUGAUCUCCGCUCAUCUUGCAUUCGCUCGUUAUCGUUUUCGGAACUCAGUCGCAUCGCUGCAGAAAUAAACACUUACAUAAAAA
Molecule: non-coding RNA, 3175 nt
Organism: Drosophila suzukii
Lineage: Eukaryota; Metazoa; Arthropoda; Insecta; Diptera; Drosophilidae
Source: RefSeq, a predicted model, not a curated record